UCCCUGCUGGCUCAGAUGGUAAAGAAUCUGCCUGCAAUGCGGGAGACCUGGGUUCGAUCCCUGGGUCGGGAA
This 72-nucleotide transfer RNA is filed under the name Ovis aries (sheep). It matches the Rfam family "tRNA". Rfam says of the family: Transfer RNA (tRNA) molecules are approximately 80 nucleotides in length. Lineage: Eukaryota; Metazoa; Chordata; Mammalia; Artiodactyla; Bovidae. RNAcentral also lists the same sequence under 2 other names. The record is from Rfam by way of RNAcentral.